This is an RNA transcript of Sipha flava (yellow sugarcane aphid), 1430 nucleotides long. RefSeq lists it as uncharacterized. The record is from RefSeq and is a predicted model, not a curated record. Lineage: Eukaryota; Metazoa; Arthropoda; Insecta; Hemiptera; Aphididae. The transcript has 5 exons.
CGCGCCGCCGUGACGUUUCGCCCGCACGUGACGUCACCGAUCGGUCUUCCGUUUACCUUACGUCCCCGUCGAACGGUUUAAAUGCCCCAAUCUUUCUCAUGGUUCCCAACUCGAUAGGUAGGCAGGUCGUAGGCAUAGGUCCCGAUAGGUCCCCGUAGGUCCAGGUUUGAUUCUGAGCCAUAGCCGCCCGGCUUCUUUGCAGGAUUUUCCGCUGCCGCCGUCGAUUCGUACGGGCGUCGUUUCCGCUCCCGCGGAUCUGUUUUCGUUUUCCGUCCGUCGCGUCCGAUUUUCGCCGCCGCCGUGUCUUAUCGACGGGAGUGUGUUGAUCCCGCUCGCGGUGUUUUCUUUUCUAUUCAUUUUCCGCCGUCCGUCAAGUCCGUUUUUUUCUUUUCGUUUCAAACUUUUUUUUUGUGAAAUCGUUUUCAUCGCUUCAAUCGUAUUAUUUAAUACAUGUUAUUACAUAUUCGAUUUGUUUUACCGAAAAUUAUUUAUCCGUUUUUCUUUACUCAUGUUGAUUUGAUGUGUAACGUUAUUGUUGAACGCUUACACACGGCUGUGAAACGAAGAAAACAUAAUGCGUUUAAAAUAUAGUUUGUUUUUUUAUCAGCGUUAAGUACGUUCAAUACGAUUUGUUUUGCCAAACGAUAUAGGGAGAUAGCUGUUGUUUGAUUUAUUUAUACUUUUUUUGAAUGGAAAGGAAUUGAAUUCAAAGGGUCUUCGGUGCUAACGAUACUGUUCAAAACGUUCACAGCUAUAAAACAACGAGUACUCGUUAUGAGUGUUACAACAUCAGUCGUUACACUUGGACGAAAGGAAAUUAAAACUUUUGUGAUGUAAUGUAAAUAAGAAAACCCGAUUGAUUUGAUGUGAAAUGCUGUAAUGAUAUUAUAAAAUGCACACACAGCUAUAAAAUAAUGAAGUAAACAUGGGAGAUGUCUGUUGUAUGUUUUCAUUAAACAUUUUCUUUGUUAAGGAAUAAUGCAGUUACUACUUCGGUACUAAUGAUUAACUAAUAAAAACAAACACAACUAUAAACUAAAGAAAACAUGGGAGAGAGCUGUUGAAUGUUUUCGUUGCACUUUAUUCUUUGGAAUGGAAUAGAAUUCAACGUGUUAUUGGUGCUAAUGAUAAUAUUCAAAUCAAACCCAGCUAUAAAAUAAAGAAAACUUGGUAUGUAUUUAUACAAUAUUUAACGCUCAAGUUCCUCUAUGAUAUAAAUGUCUUUGUAAAAUAUCUUAAACUAUAUAUUGUUUAUUUUGCUCAUAGUGGGUUGCAGAUUAAUGAAUUAACGAAUGCUCAAACACCAGUGUAGUACUGUUGUACCCAAGAGCUUGGUUAUUAUUACACUUUUCUCCUAAUAUUAUAAGAAAAAUCUUGGUAUAGUUUAUUUAUUUAAACCGUAUCAUACUGAUAUGACUUUAUAUAAUGAU